Long non-coding RNA from Rattus rattus (black rat), 102 nucleotides. RefSeq lists it as uncharacterized. The record is from RefSeq and is a predicted model, not a curated record. Lineage: Eukaryota; Metazoa; Chordata; Mammalia; Rodentia; Muridae. The transcript has 2 exons.
ACGCAGGUAAAACAAAGAUAUAAGCAAAUUUCCAUACUGAAAUUUGAAUACUGAGGAAAACGGCUUGGGGAAGAGGGCUGUUGGGAAACAGCAAAAUACACG